This 497-nucleotide ribosomal RNA is filed under the name uncultured bacterium. RNAcentral describes it as "partial 16S ribosomal RNA". It matches the Rfam family "Bacterial small subunit ribosomal RNA", at positions 28 to 507 of the family's 1533-position model. The record is from RNAcentral.
GAUGAACGCUGGCGGCGUGCCUAAUACAUGCAAGUCGAGCGAACAGACGAGGAGCUUGCUCCUCUGACGUUAGCGGCGGACGGGUGAGUAACACGUGGAUAACCUACCUAUAAGACUGGGAUAACUUCGGGAAACCGGAGCUAAUACCGGAUAAUAUAUUGAACCGCAUGGGUCAAUAGUGAAAGACGGUGUUGCUGUCACGUAUAGAUGGAUCCGCGCCGCAUUAGCUAGUUGGUAAGGUAACGGCUUACCAAGGCAACGAUGCGUAGCCGACCUGAUAGGGUGAUCGCCCACACUGGAGCUGGGCCACGGUCCAGACUCCUACGGGAGGCAGCAGUAGGGAAUCUUCCGCAAUGGGCGAAAGCUUGACGGAGCAACGCCGCGUGAGUGAUGAAGGUCUUCGGAUCGUAAAACUCUGUUAUUAGUGAAGAACAAAUGUGUAAGUAACUAUGCACGUCUUGACGGUACCUAAUCAGAAAGCCACGGCUAACUACGUG